RNAcentral lists this unclassified non-coding RNA (157 nucleotides) under Brucella sp. 191011898. RNAcentral's name for it is "BASRCI153". Lineage: Bacteria; Pseudomonadati; Pseudomonadota; Alphaproteobacteria; Hyphomicrobiales; Brucellaceae. The record is from RNAcentral.
GCAUUCUCGAGCCAAAAGUGUGAAACGCCUAUGCGGGGAAAUCAGUCCACUGGACUGAUUUCUGAUCCCGCUUUGAUGCGUCGGAUAAUGUGACAAAACAAAUAGUUAGAGCGGUUUCUGCGAUUCUGUUCAAACAGGAACCGCUCUAGAUUCGGCG